UGUUGGGCAGGGAGGGCACCAGAGGAAGACCGUUGGGGGGGUGUGCUCCGGGAGGGACAGGCGACUCCCAGCCCUGCCUGAAUCCCUUACACACACGCUCAGCGUGAAGGAGGUGAGCCUUUCCCAGGGACGGAGUGUGCUGUUGCCUGCAGGCAGAGGAAGCGUAGUUGUUCCGCCCAGGGGGAACCUGGUAAAGCUGCUUCAGCACCCACCCCUUCCACCGUGAUGGUCUCAUUCACUCCUAGAGCUUCAGCUCCCACAGGACUCGGAUCCUGCUGUGGACUGACCUGUUCCCUGAGCUACAGCCCACCCCACCUGGACGCCUGCAGUGGGCCCAGCAAACUCCCCCUCCUGCUGGUGGCAGCCCCCGCGUUCUCCUCUGGGGAACCUUCCAAAGGGCAGUUCACAACACUGUCCCAUUUUGGCCUGAGCUGGUCUAAGCUGGGUUUUUGUCACUUGCUUUCAAAAGCUCCUGGAACAAGCUCCCGGCGGCCCUCCUCAGACCCAGACCGCAGCCCACGCGGCUGCUCGUCCCACUUCCACCUCUUCACCUGGGCCCGCACGACCUGAGCAGCUUCCUGGCUGGGCCUCGGGCUCCGCCGCCCUGCACUCUGCCGCGGGAGGUUUCUAGCGCCAGCUCUGCUCCCGUAACAGACCCUCAUCGACCCCACCUGCUGCCAGGACGGCGCUCUCCUUCCACAUCCGCAGCUCCACUCCCGUGCCCCACGUGCGCUUCUCGCCGUCCCCGCCCCGCCCCCGAGCACCCCGGGGCCACUCCACAACAUCGUCCCCUCCGGGGGGGGACUGGCCUGCACGUUCCCCCGAGACCCCCGCACCUUUGCCUUUCCUACCUGGGCCCGCGCGUCCCGGCGUCCGCGGGAAGUGGCGGAGUGAAGGCGGGAAGGACACGCCCACCACGUGCCUCCAGGUCCCGCCCCGCCCCGCCCCGCCCCGCCCCUUCCAGGUGACUCCUCCCCGGCCCGGCUCCUCAGCCCCUUUCGGAGAUCCCGGUGAAAUCCUUGUGAAAUUCACCUCCAAGACGACUACCCGCACUUUUUUGGUCCUUUCUUUCCCCCAAUUAAACAAAAACGUUAAAAAAAAAAAGGCAAUGCAGCGGGGAGGGAUGACCAGGUGGAGCGUGGAGGAUUUUUAGGGAAUGAAACUAGUCCAUGUGAUACUGCGAAGGCGGAUCCACGUCGGGCACGUUUGUCCAAACCCACCGGACACCUGACCGAGAGCGAGCCCGCGUGUAAACAGCGCACUGUGGGCAGCGGUGACCGUGACCCUGCAGGUUCAUCCGUCAUAUAAACGCCCCCGCGGUGGGGAUGUGAGGAUGGGGGGAGGGUGGGCAGAGGGCAUGCGGGAAAUCUCUGCACCUUCUCAAUUUUGCUGUGAGCCUAAAACUAUUCUUUAAAAAACUGUCUUACCGAAAAAGACAAUAGGAAAAGCUGGCCUGGUGCAGGUUAGUUUCAAUAAAAAUUCUCACAUGUAUACCUCCUUUUGAGCUCACCAUGCCACGCGCUUCCCCCACCUCACCCCACGCCCACACCAGCUCUGCCCACGCCCUUCCCCCAGCUCAGCCCACCCUCUCCCCGCCUCUGCUUUCACUCCCCUCUCAGCCUGGCGGGUCCCCUUGUCCCUUCACUCAGUUACAACGCCGGCAAGUUUCGGCCCCACUUUCUCUGCAGGAUCCAAACCCUGGCGAGUGAGCACCUACCUCAGGGAGGGAGGGCUGGGCUGAGGCCCUGGCGCUGGUGAUCUGGGAGAGAAAACAGCUCACUGGACAUGGGUGAAGACACGAAACAAACCUCACAGGAGCAGAAGCUGCAAUGUGCAAGUGCCGGAUAAACACAUCCGAGAGUGAGGAGGGAACGGAAACUGGGCCCAGCUAAAGCAGCAACAGUCAAUGAAAAAAAAUAGUACUGAGAAACAGGA
Vicugna pacos (alpaca) is the source of this 1935-nucleotide non-coding RNA. The record is from RefSeq and is a predicted model, not a curated record. Lineage: Eukaryota; Metazoa; Chordata; Mammalia; Artiodactyla; Camelidae.